RNAcentral lists this non-coding RNA (45 nucleotides) under Schistosoma margrebowiei. Lineage: Eukaryota; Metazoa; Platyhelminthes; Trematoda; Strigeidida; Schistosomatidae. The record is from RNAcentral.
AUGUAUAUGACGAGUCUCAAAUAGGAUGAAACUCGUGUCGUGGAU